RNAcentral lists this long non-coding RNA (8723 nucleotides) under Nicotiana tabacum (common tobacco). Its description in RNAcentral is "long non-coding RNA (NTAB_LNC019482)". The record is from RNAcentral. Lineage: Eukaryota; Viridiplantae; Streptophyta; Magnoliopsida; Solanales; Solanaceae.
AAUGUUAAGGCCCAAAUUUGAAGCUCAUAUACCUUACACAUGCCCAAUUCACAUCAGAUUUUCUUUUGGAAUUAAAAACCCUAAACUUUCUUCAUCUUAACCCUGAACCUAAAAAUACACACGAGACAUACAAAAAAGGAGCCGCCACCCGACUUCCCCUUCACAAAAUAUCUGCUCCAAACACCACCUCUAAGCUUCAGUCGCCCCACCCUACAAAAUUCGAUCACCGCCGCACACCACCGUAAAGAACAGAGCCGCUGCUCCCUUUCCUUCUCGAUCUCCCAGCAUCAAACAAGAGACCUAACUCGUCCACCCACCUAGCCCUAUCUCCCAGCAACCUCAAACACACACACAUAGAGGAGGGAGUGAGAACAGAAAAGAGGCUAGAAGGGGGACGAAAAACAGAGCACGAGCUCCGAAAAACAGAGCAUGAGCUCCGAAAAAUAGUGAGGAGAACGAGAAAAAUUUAAACUAUGGAGUCAAGCUAAGGUUAUUGAAAUCGACGCUGUCCGGAGUUGGUUUCGAGUGUGAUUCGGAGUCGAGGUUCACGGUUCUGGUUUCGAUUUCUUCUGUCGCACUUUAAAAUUCCGACGCCGGUCUGCCUGUAUUCGUUCCUGAACAUAUUAAAUCGAAAGUUGCUCGCAUUCAGGCUUAUAUCCUUGCUCUUUCUCUCAUUUUAUUAUCAAAACAUGAAUUUGAGGUGUUGUUUUCUCUUAAGUUCCUGCUGAUGUUCUGAUUUGUUUUGAUCGUAACUUGAAUAUCGUGAGGCCGUUAAGUGCAUUUUGAGUAAUUUAAGUGAUUGAUAUGCUUCAUCCUACUCUUUGUCUGCUCAUGGAUAUAUCAAGAAUUGUUACAUUAGGUUUCAGCAAGUAUUCUGUAUGUGUUAUUCAAGGAAGGUUAAUCCUAUCUUUCUAGGAUCAGAUUGUUAACAUUAUCCCUAUUUUCUUAAAGCUCUCGCUCGUUUUCCUUCAAAUCUAGGCAUGUGAUUAAUAUUUUUCCUAAAAAUGAUUUUAUAUUUCUGUUGGAUUUGAACAUGGAAGGGAUAUACUUAUUUGAAUUCAAAAGCAAUGUAAUGGAAUCCCAUGGUUUUGAUUGAACAGACUAGUUCGUUAGUCUCAUUUCCUACUUAGACGAUAUUAUACUUAUUCUUCUUUCAAGUUUGGGUCAUAUAUUAAACUCAUCUGAUUUUCCCCCAUUUUUUAUAUUUGAUGCGUACAUGAUACAUAUCUUAUGGAGUUAGUGAGUUGAAUUCGCUUGUUCAUGUGCUUCAUAUGUUCGAAUGUUUGUGUUCAGAUUAUCGUGUAUAUUUUUCUUUAGGGAGUACUGGGUCGUGGGAGCUGGGAAAAGGUCGAGCCCAUUAGUGUUUAACUGACAUGCAUGCUUUAGGAUUGGGCCCGGUCUAUCAAAUGAAAUUAAUUGUUAAGAAAAACUGAGCAUGAAUUGAAUUCUCCUGUUAGUUAGUUUUUGUUUAUUUCUUCCCAUCAUCCGCUAGUAACAUGUUUUAGGCCGACCACACUUGGAUAGGCAAGCGUUAGGAUUUUUGUUAGUUUUAAGGCGAGAGGUCGUUCCCUUAGUUAAAUUUAUCCGGGGAAUGCCCCGAAGGAUUUGUAUAUAUUUUAUCCGGGGUAUGCCCUGUAUUACAUGAUAUUGGAGGUCGUGACGAACACCGUGGAGGAAGUAUAAUGUAAGCUAGCUUUUGUUUUUAUUUUUCUUUUAUUAGGUGGGGACGACCUCGAGCCUUUUUGUGUUUAUUUUCCUUUUCUGUGAUUUUACCUCAACUUGAAUAUUUUAAAAGUCAACUAGAUCAAGUACGCAAUUGUACUAGUUACGGGGCUUGGGAAGUGUCUAACACCUUCUCCCCGAGUCAAAUGAAUCCCCUUACCCGAAUCUCUGGUACAGACUUAGUUUUGGAGUCUCAAGUGUUUUGAAAGGAGAAAAAAAAUUAUUUUAAAAAAAACGAUGACUUGACACACCUAAAUCAAAUGUCAAGUGGUGACUCUGAGUUAGUCCUUUUGAACACGGAUUUUCGUUACUUUCUAAUUGAAUACCUUUUUGAGCUUUACAAAUCUUAUUAUUUAUAAGAUGGUUAAGUGAAGUUGAAAAAAGGGGUGUGACACUAAAUCAUAUCGACCUUGGUAAAUAGAUUCCAAAAAGGGGCAAAACAUAAUUUUCUUGACUGUUAAAAGAGAAAUUGCCAUUUCCUUGGAUAAUUGUUCCUUAAUAAAUUCUUGAUUGACUAUUUGUGUGUGUUUAUCUUUGUGGAACAAGCCGAAUGCCUCGACAGAUUAAAUAGAUGCAUCUAUGGUUCGCGGCAUUUGACCGUCUGGCAAUGCACAAUUUAAAUAUUGUGUUGGAUCCGGCCGUACGACCUCGGCAUGAUUUACGUAUGAUUGUAAUGCUUGCUUUGAGAUUUAUAAAAUUUGAUAUUGCCUCCCUGGCGUGAGAUAAAUUGAUAAAUGAUGAAAUAUACAUUUUUGGAAAUUUGUUACUAUUAAAAGAAUUAUUUACGUGCUUCAUGAUUAAAUGAGUUUACAAGCGCUUUACGAAAUGUAUGAUUUUCCACUAUUUAUAUUUUAUUAUUGGACCACUAGUAAGUGUCGAAGUUGACCUCUCGUUACUACUUCUUUGAGGUUAGACUGGAUAUUUACUGGGUACGCGUUGUUUUCGUACUCAUACUACACUUGCUGUGAAUUUUUGAUGCACAUGCACAUGUAUGUGUAAUGGCCUCAUUGGGCGCAGCAGCAUGGUUAAUACGAAGACUUAGGUGAGCUGCAUCUCUCGAGACGACUCGCAGCCAGCAGAGUCUCCUUAAGAGUAUUGUACUUUUUUUUCUGUCCAAUUUGUAUUACGGACAGUUAUUGUAUUAUAUUUUAUUUCCUAGAAAUUGCUCAUGCACUUGUGACACCGGGUAUUGGGAUGACUAUGGAAUUAUUCAGUAUUUAAAUUUAUUAAAGAUAUCAUUAUUUUUCUCAGUUAAGUUCAUUAUAUAUUGCUUAAUGUAAGGAAAAGAAAUGAUUUCAAAAAUACCAAAAUGAGAGUCUAAGUAACUUCUUGAUGUUGGCUUGCCUGACAGUGGUGUCCGGCGCCAUCACGACCCUUAGUGAAUUUUGGGGUUGUGACAAUAUGGUAUUAAGGCACUAGGUUCCCUUUGGUCUCACGAGUCUAGUAGAGUCUUGCGGAUCGAGUACGAAGACGUCUGCACUUAUCUUUGAGAGACUAUAGAGUUGUUAGGAGCACUUUCCUUCUAAAUUCCUCUUCGUGCGGUUUGAUUCCUUUGAAGCUUAUAUCUUUAUUCCCUUCCUAUUCAAUCUUAUGUGACGUGAAGCAUUUGUCAUCAAUUGGGAAUUGAGGAAUUGUAAUGGUACUACAUAUGUGGUGUGGGAUGUUUCUCCUGGCAUAGUUGAUUAGGCCAUUGUCGUCGCCUUGUAGGAGGAUAUUCUAUCAUUUCAGGCUCAGUAGUUGUACUUCUAGGAGCUUUGACGCUAUCAACAGGUUGUUAUGAUUCUCAUGAACGGUUAUCGCAUGGUAUUGAUGUGACGGUAGGAUGUCUACCCAAGUAUCGGGGUAGUGAAUGACUUGAAAUGAGGUCUACUCAGAGCAUGAUUUAGAGAUUCGAUGUUUUAUUUCCGGUAGUGAAAAAACAAUCGGGUUAUAAUUGUUCUGGUUUUGGUUGAUGGAGUAAUGAGACUUGGAUUCGAGCAUGGUGGAACUUUUAUCUGCGAUGUGGUGUCGUCGUCCUUGAUUGAAUGUGUGGAGUUCACCGGUGUUAUGGUCUUCUUCGAUUCACCUUUGGGGCAGGCGUUGUGAAAUAGAGCCGGGGAAGCAGCUAUCAGAGUAUGUGGUGUGCGGUGAUUCAGGAUUUAGUCAGUGUUUCUAGUGUCAAUGGCUUGAGAAAGAUGAUCUUCGGAAAGGUUUAAAGUUAGUAGCGAUCUAUUGGUUCAAGUGCUACAGAGAUAGAUUUUUAAUUUAAGGCAACAAAUGGGCAGCGAAGGAUGAGGAAGGACAUAUGGGAAGUGUCUUGUGGUGAUUAAACUUCUAGAAGGCCAAGUGUGGGAACAAGAGUCAAGUAGUUGUUUAAAGGAGUGAGUUUGACCAAAGUGGGAGAGUGGCAGAGUAGCGUAUGGGUUUUGCGGUAGGAUGACUACAUACCCGGAGAAAAAGUCUAGAGUGAUUUGAGAUUCAGGGUGGACAGUGACUGGGUCUACAGGCUUAAUUUGAAAUUUUGGCUAUUAUACGGCGCGAAAUUGGAUGUAACAGAAAGGAGUUGUGUGAUAUGAAGAAGGAUAUAACAUAACUUUGAAUUGGAGGAUAUUGUCGCACAUUUAGUUGAUGUCCACGGGGAGUGAAUGGGCUUGUACAGCUAGUGAAUUAGCAUGGGCUCAAGACGGGUUAUUGAUGUCAUAGUGAUUGUAUCCCGUGUAGCGACGUUGGAAGAUGUCAGCAUGUAAAUUCCACAGGUGGGUUAUCUCCUAUGAGUAGGUCAGCGGUUGCGUGGUUUGCGAAGCUUCUGCGAAGGAUUUUACUGACUAUCCAGUAAGAGGUCGAAUAUGCGAAUGUUGCUAGAGAUACAGAGUGUUCGUGAAAUGCUAACAGAAGGAUUUCGAGAAAAUUGGCAGGUUGGUUGUUCAACUCAUCCAACAAUGAAGAAAGAAUCUUGGUGGGUUCUAGAGUUGUGUAAUAGUGGCUUCAAGCUAAGUGGGAGAGUCCCACCGCCUACGGUUGUGUUGCAUGGUUAUCUACUUAAGAGGUUUCGGGAUUACCGGCGUAUUUUAUUACAGCUAAGAGAAAAGAACAUAAAUGGUAAUUUGAGCAAAAGGAUUGAUAAAGGUGUGUUAUAGUUGGCCUUAUUGACUCAUGUUCGAGCUUUUGUAGCGGAUUAUGAUAAGAGGCAUGGAAUGUUCUAUGAUAUUUUCGACUUGCAAUGUAGCAUUUGGAGGAAAAAGAGAAAAUGACUUUUCGUAGAGGAAUUAUCAGAAUGGGCGUAUCAGUUGAAGAUGUGAAUGUGCGUGCAAGGAGGGUAUGAAACAGUUCAUGGGUUUGGAGACAAUGUGGUCUCGUGGAAUGGGGUCACUCAAGAUGAGUGCGGAUUUAGGUUGGUGAUGUGAGUAAUGGAGCUAUUAUUAUCUCUAAGGCAAAUUAAGGAUGAAUUAGAAAAGGUUAGAUUGGUUAGCCAUGGUUGAAUUGGCAUAAUGAUGGUGGUGAUCAGUUCCUUCAGUGUGAUUAAGUUAUGCAUGUGAUUUGUGGCAGUACGUGUGAGGUUUGAUGGUCACUGUAUUGAUUCUUUGGAAGUAUUCAAGUAUUAUGGCAUGUUAUGUGUAGGCGGAUCCCGGAAGGGUUAUGGUGGUUUAGACCACUGCUUGAGGAUUUGAAUGUUCUACGGUUAUGAGAAUUCACUCGUGUAUUACUAUGGUUCUCUUGGAAUGACUUAAGCAAAAAGGUUUCUAUAUGAUGAAGUGUUUACCCUAUUCGUGGUUCCAGAGUUAUGAUGAAAUUCUUGUACUAUCGCAUUAUUAGGUGCAGUGAGCGAUAUGAAAUUUGAAAGUGAGGGGCAAUGUGGCGGUUCAGUGUUGGCAAGGAUGUCACGAGCUCGGAUGCGCAUGAAAGGAUUUAGAUGUCUAAAGUUAGCUGGUAUUGUUUUCAGCGCCACCGGAGAUCAGUGUCUUGUGUAAAAGGCUUUGCAUACCGAUUAUGGAUUCUCGAUUUGAGUCACAGUGUUAGUAUGGCCGGUGGUAGGGGUGGGCAUAUAUUGGGUAUAACCGAUAACCCGAACCAAUAAAAUGAUAUUGGGUUAUUGAUAUCGGGUUAUUGGGUAAAUAGUUCGAUAACAGUUUAAUGUUAUUUGACUAUUGGGUUAUCGAUUUGGGUCUUGGUUUUCCCAAUUUAUUAACAGUACUCAUAGCCUAAUAAGCUUUAACAAAAUUAUAAUUUUACCUACUAAGUAUAUAAAGCCACCUUAUGGCUUCAUUCUCUCAAUUCUCCCGGCAAUUACUCUUCAUCUUCAGAUCUUAAUCCAUAGAAUAAGUUUUAAACUUUUUCUGAAUUUCUCAUCUUAAUUCUUCAUUUAAGAUUUUUAGUUUUUGUAUUUGUUUCUUUUGUUGCACUGAUUCUUUAGUAUUUACAAUAUUAGGAUUUUAUUAUUUUUCUGUGAAUUUUGCCCGCCCGCAGUGAGAUACUAGUUAGUAAGAUAGAUUGUUGAAUGUCUUAUUCCUUGCUCUUAUAAUCUUACUAAUUUAUUACUUUGAAAAUUGAGAUCAUUCAUUGAGAUUUUCAAAUGCAAAGAUAGUUUUUUUUCUAAAUAUGAAAUAUAAUCCCUCUUUUUUAAGAGCAAAAAUUCAGUUCCUUUCUCUUAACAUUAUGAUCACGUUUUCUAUAAGAAAAAAUAAAAAUUUUGGAUAUUUUUUAUUCUUAUUGGGUAAACCGAUAACCGACCCGAUAAGGAUUGAUAACCGACUAACUGAUACUUUAUAACCAAUAUUUUAUCGGUUCGGUUAUCGGUUUAGCAUAUUUAUAAAUCGAUAAAUGAUAUGGCGAACCGAUAACAUUCACAACCGAACCGAACCGACUGAUGCCCACCCCUAGCCGGUGGUGUGGGUGCAAACUUGUUACCCAGUACGGGAAGUCGUGGAAGCGUGUUCAACGAGAAGAUUGUAUAAGUGUGGCAUGUAGUCACUUGAUUGAUCGAAGAUCGAAACCAAGCAUGGAGAUUGUGGUGAUAUCGCUAAUUGGAGAAUUUGUGCUUGGAGGGCACUCGGUUUAUUGGGUUGUGGACUGUGGAGGUUUACCCCGAUUAUGAAGGUUGUUCUUGUGAGUUAUAGGAAUGAGGGUUUAUUAUGGACCCUUGAAAUGUUAUUAGCCUAGUACGAAGCAAUCAGAAUCGGCUCGUGGUCUGUGGAUGGAUUUAAAUAUGAAUAUGGGCUCUAUAUUAGUCCAGAUGUGUUCAUUUCAGCAUAGCGCUCCUUAUGGAGGAGUAUUCAAACAUUGGAUGUUCUUUCGUCGUCGACUAUUUCAUGUAAUACUAUAUUGUGUUGUGUGAGUUAUGAAACGGUUUGAUAAAAAGUCUUACGUGUUGAGGUUCCGCGUACCGAUAGUGUUAUGUGAGCAGGAUGGCUCUUGAGAUUCAGAUCAUAUAUCACACCUCAUUGUGCUUGAGUUUUGUAGCGUGUAGCGCUAUCUGUCUCCCCAAGGAUGGUAUUGUGCACUUAGCGUGCUUGUGGCCGAUAUUCGGUAUUUUGUGGUAAUGGGCAAUUUAGCUCGGUAAGUAUCUCCUUAUGUGAGUUUUAUGUAUGGAUCGGGUGUCACGUCGCCACGGGUAUGUUGUUUGGAUUGGGUUGUAUGUUGCAACAGCGAGAUGUUGAGUACAGUCCUCUAUAUCUAUCCUUGUGUGUUUUGUUUCUUAUUUCCUGAGGAGGGUUCAUAUCAUCCCUUUGAUUGACUAAUUAGUCGCGUAUGUUGAGUAGUUCUUUCCAAAGUUCAUUUUCCCUAUAUCUAUAUAACAUUCGAGCUGGUAGCUUGUUGGCUUAUUGUGGCAUCAUAUGAGACUUUUGGUAGUAACUGGGGUGGCUUAUUGCCUGAGCAGAUCGUACUAGGUGAGAUGAGAUUAUUGGAUCUAGGAUCAGUGCGAUUGGAUUAUAUGAAGUAUAUUAAAGAGAAAAUAUCAUUAUUUGGUUCAGAAUGAGGUAAUGUUUCUUGUCAGAAGUAUAGACUCAAUGAUUUGUUGACUCGGCAGUUGGUUAUGAAUUUUUACACCUCUUCCGUCGUGGCGGUAUUGCAAAAGUUGGGACAAGACUUAUAUAUGUCAUGAGGUGCAUUGGGCGCAUAAGAUUCGUGGAAUUUCGGCUAUUGUUAUUAGAGGAUGAUAUUAUGGUCGUGUGAGUUAUGCAGUGCAUAUGUGAAUUCAGCAAAGGUAUGCAAUCAUGUAUCGGUGCAUUGUGUGGUGAUUGAUACGGUGUUCGUAUGUUGAAAGCAGGCAUGGCAGAGAAUUACGGAUGUUGGAAUUGGUUUCUAUUCUUAUUUACUUGAAUAAAAGAGAAUAUCUUCAGAUUUGAUUGAGCUAAUGUGCUCAAAUGAGUUGUGGUAGCACGGGUAGGUGCACGAGGUGUUAAACAGUGAUUUCAGACAACUCCAACGCAAUUCUCAGCACAUUCGAGGAUGAACGUAUAUUUAAGUGGGAGAGAAUGUAACAACUGGACCGGUCGUUUUGAGCUCUAAUGCGUCGUUCGGCAGUUUGAGGCCAUGAGCAUCUUUAUUUCAAGUAUCAUGACUCGUACGCGUGGUUAGAAUUGAAUUCCGGGAAGUUUGGAGUUGAUUUGGAAAGAAAAUUCUCAUUUCGGAAGCUUUAAGUAAGAAGAAUUGACUAAGGGUUGAUUUUGAAUAAACGACCUCGGAAUCGGGAUUUGAAGAUUCCAGCAUGUUCGUAUGAUAAUUUUGGACUUGGGCGUAUGUCCGGAUCAGGUUUUUGAUGACCCGGGAGCGCUUCAGCGCCUAUUGUGGAAGUUUGCAUUUUUGAAAGAAUUUCAUAAAUUUGGGUUGAAGUGCAUUUCAGUGUUAUCGAUGUCCGUUUGGGAUUCCGAGUCUAGGAAUAGCUCCGUAUGGUGAUUCUGGUAUUGGGAGCGCAAUCGGAAGAACAUUUGAAGGUCCGCAGGUCAUUUGGCUAAAGUUAGGAAUUUGAAGGUUUUUGAGAAGUUUGAUCGGAGGUUGACCUUUUGAUAUUAGGGUCGGAUUCC